Molecule: long non-coding RNA, 1055 nt
Organism: Zea mays
Lineage: Eukaryota; Viridiplantae; Streptophyta; Magnoliopsida; Poales; Poaceae
Exons: 3
Source: RefSeq, a predicted model, not a curated record
UGUAGUGGUCAGGGAAGACAAAAUACUGCUGACCGUCCUUUUUCCAGAUGUCCGUGAUGGUCGCACCUUUACCUUGAAGGCAGAAAGUUCUAAAGAUUUGUUCGAGUGGAAAACAUCACUGGAAGUAGCUCUUGCACAAGCUCCAAAUGCAGCUCUUAUGAUGGGGCAUAAUGGAAUAUUUCGCAAUGACACAACAGAUGUGUAUGAAGAGGCUAUUCCAAAUUGUUGGUUCCCUUACAGUUUACACUAUCAUCAUGUGACAUGCUCCUCUUCGCUAUAAACUUAAUUAUAUAUCUGAAUUUUUUCCAUAUGUUUCGUCUACUGACUGCAGGGAGAGAGAAGAGACCUACCAAAUCCUAUGAGCUUGCGUUUUACAAAGUUUGGUAACAGAUUUGUCAUUUUCUAUUAACAGGUUGCAGUGAGUCAAUUGGAAGAAUAUUCUGAAACGAGCGGGCACUUAGUUCACACCAAGGUUGCAUUUUUUGGGUUAUCUUUUUUCCAUCCUUCGUUUUCAACUUAUGAUCCGAUUAUCAGAGAACACCUUGAUGGCUCACCUAUCAACGUUUCUUCCAGCACUUAUGGAUGCUAAGGUGGUACGUUCUUUCGUUCCUCUGGUGUACGUUCUCUGGUGGCGACGACUGGGCUGCCUCCUCCUCCUCCACUACCUCCGCGUGAACAUAGUUAACUUCUGUUUCUACAGGUUAAUAAGGUACAGACAAAGAAGGCGCCUACUCCCAAGAUUGCUAAACAAGAGUCCAGUGAUGAUGACACCAGCGACGAGACCUCUGAAUCUGAUGAGGAACCUGCAAAGAAGCCUGCUGCUAAACCCUUGGUCUCAGUUGUGAAAAAUGGUUCGAAGAUGGUCAAGCAAGAGAGCAGCAGCGAUGAGGACAAUUCUGAAGACGAGUCGAAUGACGACAGUGAUGAUGUGAGUUGAAGUUUCCUGUUUAUCUUAUGUAUUGUGCACAGUUAAUUUCAUUUACCACCAUGGCAACACAGAUUAAUGGUUUAGUUGUCAUUACCCUAGGAAUUUGGUAGCCAACCAAUUGAUUAUU